GAUGAAGAACGCAGCGAAAUGCGAUACGUAAUGUGAAUUGCAGAAUUCAGCGAAUCAUCGAAUCUUUGAACGCACAUUGCGCCCGCCAGCACUCUGGCGGGCAUGCCUGUUCGAGCGUCAUUUCAACCAUCAAGCCCCAGGCUUGCGUUGGAGCCCUGCGGCUGCCGCAGCCUCCUAAAAGCAGUGGCGGGCUCGCUAUCACACCGAGUGCAGUAGAUUACUCUUCGCUCAGGGCGUGCAGCGGGUUCCGGCCGUGAAACCCCCUACUUUUAAAGGUUGACCUCGGAUCAGGUAGGAAUACCCGCUGAACUUAAGCAUAUCAAUAAGCGGAGGA
This 334-nucleotide unclassified non-coding RNA is filed under the name soil metagenome. RNAcentral's name for it is "partial contains 5.8S ribosomal RNA, internal transcribed spacer 2, and large subunit ribosomal RNA". The stretch from base 1 to 120 matches the Rfam family "5.8S ribosomal RNA", at positions 35 to 154 of the family's 154-position model. The record is from RNAcentral.